CGGGAAGGGGCACCAUGACGGAGGCCAAGGCAGAACUCUCUGCUGCUGCAGCUCCACGUUCUUGAAAUGGAACUCCUGCAGUUGUUUGAUCCAGACUUCCACGGUGCAGGCACAAAGAACAGUCAAUAGUGAGGGCACCCAGGCCUCACAGCUGCAACAGGAACAGAAGAGCUCUGCUUUCCCCUGAAAGUGCCUCAGUUGAGGAUGUUCCUUGUCUUUCAAGUCAAGUCACCCUGGCACUUGAAAAGACUUCGUGGAGCACUAAAGUUUAG
Ficedula albicollis (Collared flycatcher) is the source of this 272-nucleotide long non-coding RNA. RefSeq lists it as uncharacterized. The record is from RefSeq and is a predicted model, not a curated record. The transcript has 2 exons. Lineage: Eukaryota; Metazoa; Chordata; Aves; Passeriformes; Muscicapidae.